UGCAUGCAUAUUUAAUAUAUGACGUCACCCACACAGAGUGAGAGCUCGAAGUUUUCUUUGAAAGUUUGAUGGAAAAUGUACAGAGACUUGUCGCAGUUAAUGCAGUACCAAAUGCUUGCUUUCUUGGAGUAUGUGCUUGAAACAAGAAUGUCCUGGAGAAAACAGACCACCACAAGAGAAGGGAUUGAGAAGGAGGGCUUCCUGUUGAGAGAUCAUGGGGUGCCUUGAGGUUCCAGUCUUGAUGUUCUGCCCCUUACCUGAAAGCGAUGGCCUCUUGUGCCUGACAUAUUAGGAGCAAAGCA
This 302-nucleotide long non-coding RNA is filed under the name Strongylocentrotus purpuratus (purple sea urchin). RNAcentral's name for it is "uncharacterized LOC115929438". Lineage: Eukaryota; Metazoa; Echinodermata; Echinoidea; Camarodonta; Strongylocentrotidae. The record is from RNAcentral.